This is a long non-coding RNA of Poeciliopsis prolifica (blackstripe livebearer), 715 nucleotides long. RefSeq lists it as uncharacterized. The transcript is spliced from 3 exons. Lineage: Eukaryota; Metazoa; Chordata; Actinopteri; Cyprinodontiformes; Poeciliidae. The record is from RefSeq and is a predicted model, not a curated record.
UAGAAAAAGUUCUGACGGGUUUGGAGAGCGGUAGCGGAGCGCUGGUGUGUUAGCAAAGCUAAUGGGUUCAGACAGUGGCAGAGGAAGGAAAGGUCAGCCAUGACACUUCAUGUUAGUGUCUUUUCUCAUAUCUCUGCCUUUAUCUACUGCAGCCUGGUGGCAAUGUUCUGCUUAUGUGGAGUCAAAAGUGAUACAGCAGAUUUCACAACUCAGAGAUUUCAUUUCACCGCCAGUUAUGUGUCAAGAUUGUCACCUGCGACAACGGGACCGCCAUGUCAGCAGUAACGGAGAAAGCUGGACGUUAAGCCUGCGGCUGGUGGUCCAGGAGAGGCGGUUCCAGUGGAAACAGCUGUGAAAUCCCCGCUGCGAGCCGCCGCUGAUGAGGCAACACGAGCAGCGACGUGUUUUCUGUCAGGCAUGCGAAGGAAAAGCUGUGAGGAAGAGCCAUCUGUCACUUCCUGGACGAGCCGCCAUAAAUAUGAAACACGUCUGCAGAGGGAAGACGCCGCUGCGCGUUGCUUAACACAAACCCACCGUCAUUCUGGCACAAAUCAGAGCAAUAAAUGCUCUGAAAGGUUGUGCCAGAAUGUAUUGAUAAAACUCAUCGAUAAUCUGUUGAAACAUUAGAAUUAAAUAAUACUGAACAUUUUUUCAGUCCCUCUGAGAUUUUGAUUUUUAUCUUUUUCAAUAAAAAUUGAAGUUUUUGCUAAACUAA